CCUGUAGGGGACUUUUGUCCAUUCGACAUGGCAUACAACCCGAAAAAAAAAAAGGUCCCUGCUCACAACGAGGCAGCAAUCUCACCAGACCCGCUUCCCUCUUCGAGAUUUAGCUGGAGGCUUGCAAUUAUCUGUCAAUUGAUACAAUCCAGAAUAUACGCUCUUUCGUGAAAUGCGUUGUAUCUACGAUCGUCCUGGUGAGCCACAAAAAUGCCGCUUUCGCUAGUAUUGAUCACUGUCAUAUUCUGGGCUGGCUGGCCGGUUUCGCACACCAUUUUCGGGGAUCAUUAGGUUUUGAAAUUUGGCAAUGCCUGCUAGAAAUUCUGAGUGAAGACUUAUUUAUAGUUACUGCAC
Molecule: small RNA, 354 nt
Filed under: Histoplasma ohiense
Lineage: Eukaryota; Fungi; Ascomycota; Eurotiomycetes; Onygenales; Ajellomycetaceae
Description: hypothetical lncRNA
Source: RNAcentral